This 465-nucleotide ribosomal RNA is filed under the name uncultured bacterium. RNAcentral's name for it is "partial 16S ribosomal RNA". It matches the Rfam family "Bacterial small subunit ribosomal RNA", at positions 28 to 507 of the family's 1533-position model. The record is from RNAcentral.
GACGAACGCUGGCGGCGUGCUUAACACAUGCAAGUCGUACGGUAAGGCCCUUUCGGGGGUACACGAGUGGCGAACGGGUGAGUAACACGUGCGUAACCUGCCCACAACUUUGGGAUAACGCUAGGAAACUGGUGCUAAUACUGGAUAUGUGCUCCUGCUGCAUGGUGGGGGUUGGAAAGCUCCGGCGGUUGUGGAUGGACUUGCGGCCUAUCAGCUUGGUGGUGGGGUAGUGGCCUACCAAGGCGGCGACGGGUAGCCGGCCUGAGAGGGUGACCGGCCACAUUGGGACUGAGAUACGGCCCAGACUCCUACGGGAGGCAGCAGUGGGGAAUAUUGCACAAUGGGCGCAAGCCUGAUGCAGCAACUCCGCGUGCGGGAUGACGGCCUUCGGGUUGUAAACCGCUUUCAGCAGGGACGAAGCUUUUUGUGACGGUACCUGCAGAAGAAGCACCGGCUAACUACGUG